Molecule: long non-coding RNA, 919 nt
Filed under: Dermacentor andersoni
Lineage: Eukaryota; Metazoa; Arthropoda; Arachnida; Ixodida; Ixodidae
Description: uncharacterized LOC126539583
Source: RNAcentral
AACGAACGAGUCACCGCUCGUCUUGCGGCGGCUCCAGCGGCGGCGGCUUGUGCGGCGUGGCCGGCACGUAGGGCGACCGCUCGCGGGAGAAGACGUCCAGGUUCGGCUCCAUCGGAGUGGGCGCCUGGCGGACGCCGCUCAGCGCCGGCAUGGCCGGCACGUCACUCGGGGCGGAUGCCACCGCGUUGGGCGUGCGCUCCCCUGAGAGGCCCUCGACGAUGGGCGUCAGCGCGGCGCCCGCGGGCGGCUCGACGACGACCAUCGACGAAUGCUCCCGGGAGUAGACGUCCAGGUUUGGGUGCAUGGGCGUCGGCGGUUCCAACUUCUUGCCGCCCAGGCCCGACAGUUCGGGCAGGAAGAAGUCAUCAUCGGCGAUGUGGGCGUCGGCGGUUUCAGCGGUCGCCGGGGGGUUUGCAGCGGCGGCGGCGACGAUGAGGUCGUCGGCGGGAGCCUGACCGAUGGUCCAGCCCGCCGUUGGGGACGCCGCGGCGUCCAACUUGGCGCCCUCUCUCAUGCCGGACUUGUGCGACGUCUUGGUCUUGGCCGAGGAACGACGGGUGCUCAUCUGCGACUUCGGAACGAGUAUUCCCGGUUGCGAGCGCUGUUCUGUCGAUGACAACCCGCUGUUUACGAAGGCAUCGGCCGCUGAGGCAAAAUGCCUGCAGAGCCCGCAGGGACUGCGUAACACUACGCAGUGAAAACGGAUGCAUACUGAGGGGAAGUCCCGGAAGUGGCAGCUGACCGUCUGACCAACCUGGACCAGGGUGGCGUUGGACUGCUGGUGGACGCUGGUGCUCAGCAUGACGACAUUCGCGUUCGCUGCUGCAAGUAAACCAGGUUCUGCGCCGCGCAAGCAGCGGCUAACAACAGGAGCGUCCAUGGAAACUUUACCAGACGGUGCAUCUUAGCCGUCCGCGCU